RNAcentral lists this ribosomal RNA (453 nucleotides) under uncultured bacterium. Its description in RNAcentral is "bacterial SSU rRNA". It matches the Rfam family "Bacterial small subunit ribosomal RNA", at positions 340 to 786 of the family's 1533-position model. The record is from RNAcentral.
UACGGAAGGCAGCAGUGGGGAAUAUUGCACAAUGGGCGCAAGCCUGAUGCAGCCAUGCCGCGUGUAUGAAGAAGGCCUUCGGGUUGUAAAGUACUUUCAGUCGUGAGGAAGGUGUUAAGGUUAAUAACCUUAGCAAUUGACGUUAGCGACAGAAGAAGCACCGGCUAACUCCGUGCCAGCAGCCGCGGUAAUACGGAGGGUGCGAGCGUUAAUCGGAAUUACUGGGCGUAAAGGGCACGCAGGCGGUUAAUUAAGUUGGAUGUGAAUCCCCGGGCUUAACCUGGGAAUGGCAUUCAAGACUGGUUAGCUAGAGUCUUGUAGAGGGGGUAGAAUUCCAUGUGUAGCGGUGAAAUGCGUAGAGAUGUGGAGGAAUACCGGUGGCGAAGGCGGCCCCUGGACAAAGACUGACGCUCAUGUGCGAAAGCGUGGGGAGCGAAACAGGGAUUAGAUACC